CAGCACCUCAAGUGGUCAGGAUGAUUAUUGGGCCUAAAGCAUCCGUAGCCGGCUCUGUAAGUUUUCGGUUAAAUCUAUGCGCUCAACGUAUGGGCUGCCGAAAAUACUGCAGAGAUAGGGAGUGGGAGAGGUAGACGGUACUCGGUAGGAAGGGGUAAAAUCCUUUGAUCUAUCGAUGACCACCUGUGGUGAAGGCGGUCUACCAGAACACGUUCGACGGUGAGGGAUGAAAGCUGGGGGAGCAAACCGGAUUAGAUACCCGGGUAGUCCCAGCCGUAAACGAUGCAGACUCGAUGAUGCAUUGGCAUAUAGCCAGUGCAGUGUCGCAGGGAAGCCGUUAAGUCUGCCGCCUGGGAAGUACGUACGCAAGUAUGAAACUUAAAGGAAUUGGCGGGGGAGCACCACAAGGGGUGAAGCCUGCGGUUCAAUUGGAGUCAACGCCAGAAAUCUUACCCGGAGAGACAGCAGAAUGAAGGUCAAGCUGAAGACUUUACCAGACAAGCUGAGAGGUGGUGCAUGGCCGUCGCCAGCUCGUGCCGUGAGAUGUCCUGUUAAGUCAGGUAACGAGCGAGAUCCCUGCCACUAGUUGCUAUCAUUAUUCUCAGGAAUAGUGGGGCGAAUUAGUGGGACUGCCGUUGUUAAAACGGAGGAAGGAAGGGGCUACGGCAGGUCAGUAUGCCCCGAAACUCUGGGGCCACACGCGGGCUGCAAUGGUAGCGACAAUGAGUUCCAAACUCGAAAGAGAGUGGCAAUCCCUAAACGCUACCACAGUUAUGACUGAGGGCUGCAACUCGCCCUCACGAAUAUGGAAUCCCUAGUAACCGCGUGUCAUUACCGCGCGGUGAAUACGUCCCUGCUCCUU
Molecule: ribosomal RNA, 862 nt
Filed under: uncultured organism
Description: bacterial SSU rRNA
Rfam family: Archaeal small subunit ribosomal RNA
Source: RNAcentral